This 1477-nucleotide ribosomal RNA is filed under the name uncultured bacterium. RNAcentral's name for it is "16S ribosomal RNA". It matches the Rfam family "Bacterial small subunit ribosomal RNA". The record is from RNAcentral.
GUUUGAUUCUGGCUCAGGAUGAACGCUGGCGGCGUGCCUAACACAUGCAAGUCGAACGGGAACAGAAUGAAACCUAGUGAUUUCUGUUUUAGUGGCGGACGGGUGAGUAACGCGUGGGUAACCUGCCUUGCACUGGGGGAUAACACUUAGAAAUAGGUGCUAAUACCGCAUAAGCGCACAAUACCGCAUGGUAGAGUGUGAAAAACUCCGGUGGUGCAAGAUGGACCCGCGUCUGAUUAGCCAGUUGGCGGGGUAACGGCCCACCAAAGCGACGAUCAGUAGCCGGCCUGAGAGGGUGAACGGCCACAUUGGGACUGAGACACGGCCCAAACUCCUACGGGAGGCAGCGGUGGGGAAUAUUGCACAAUGGGGGAAACCCUGAUGCAGCAACGCCGCGUGAGUGAAGAAGUCAUUCGUGAUGUAAAGCUCUAUCAGCAGGGAAGAAAAUGACGGUACCUGACUAAGAAGCCCCGGCUAACUACGUGCCAGCAGCCGCGGUAAUACGUAGGGGCAAGCGUUAUCCGGAUUUACUGGGUGUAAAGGGAGCGUAGACGGCGAGACAAGUCUGAAGUGAAAUGCCAGUGCUCAACACUGGAACUGCUUUGGAAACUGCCUGGCUGGAGUGCGGGAGAGGUAAGUGGAAUUCCUAGUGUAGCGGUGAAAUGCAUAGAUAUUAGGAGGAACACCAGUGGCGAAGGCGGCUUACUGGACCGUAACUGACGUUGAGGCUCGAAGGCGUGGGGAGCAAACAGGAUUAGAUACCCUGGUAGUCCACGCGGUAAACGAUGAUUACUAGGUGUCGGGGAGCUAGAGCUCUUCGGUGCCGCCGCAAACGCAAUAAGUAAUCCACCUGGGGAGUACGUUCGCAAGAAUGAAACUCAAAGGAAUUGACGGGGACCCGCACAAGCGGUGGAGCAUGUGGUUUAAUUCGAAGCAACGCGAAGAACCUUACCUGACCUUGACAUCCCGAUGACCGGACAGUAAUGUGUCCUUCCCUUCGGGGCAUUGGAGACAGGUGGUGCAUGGUUGUCGUCAGCUCGUGUCGUGAGAUGUUGGGUUAAGUCCCGCAACGAGCGCAACCCUUAUCCUUAGUAGCCAGCAGUAAGAUGGGAACUCUAGGGAGACAGCCGGGGAUAACCCGGAGGAAGGCGGGGAUGACGUCAAAUCAUCAUGCCCCUUAUGGCCAGGGCUACACACGUGCUACAAUGGCGUAAACAAAGGGAAGCGAGACUGUGAAGUUAAGCAAAUCCCAGAAAUAACGUCCCAGUUCGGAUUGCAGUCUGCAACUCGACUGCAUGAAGCUGGAAUCGCUAGUAAUCGCAGAUCAGAAUGCUGCGGUGAAUACGUUCCCGGGUCUUGUACACACCGCCCGUCACACCAUGGGAGUUGGAAAUGCCCGAAGUCGGUGACCUAACUGAAAAGGAGGAGCCGCCGAAGGCAGGUCUGAUAACUGGGGUGAAGUCGUAACAAGGUACCC